RNAcentral lists this ribosomal RNA (253 nucleotides) under uncultured bacterium. RNAcentral describes it as "partial 16S ribosomal RNA". It matches the Rfam family "Bacterial small subunit ribosomal RNA", at positions 524 to 776 of the family's 1533-position model. The record is from RNAcentral.
UACGUAGGGUGCGAGCGUUGUCCGGAAUUAUUGGGCGUAAAGAGCUCGUAGGCGGCUCGUUGCGUCAACCGUGAAAACCCGGGGCUUAACUUCGGGCUUGCGGUUGAUACGGGCGGGCUGGAGUUCGGUAGGGGCAACUGGAAUUCUCGGUGUAGCGGUGAAAUGCGUAGAUAUCGAGAGGAACACCGGCGGCGAAGGCGGGUCUCUGGGCCGAUACUGACGCUGAGGAGCGAAAGCGUGGGGAGCGAACAGG